CAGCAGCCGCGGGAAUACGGAGGGUGCAAGCGUUAAUCGGAAUUACUGGGCGUAAAGCGCACGCAGGCGGUCUGUCAAGUCGGAUGUGAAAUCCCCGGGCUCAACCUGGGAACUGCAUUCAAAACUGGCAGGCUAGAGUCUUGUAGAGGGGGGUAGAAUUCCAGGUGUAGCGGUGAAAUGCGUAGAGAUCUGGAGGAAUACCGGUGGCGAAGGCGGCCAUCUGGCCUAAUACUGACGCUGAGGUACGAAAGCAUGGGGAGCAAACAGGAUUAGAUACCCCAGUAGUCCCUGUCUCUUAUAC
This 301-nucleotide ribosomal RNA is filed under the name uncultured bacterium. Its description in RNAcentral is "partial 16S ribosomal RNA". It matches the Rfam family "Bacterial small subunit ribosomal RNA", at positions 509 to 807 of the family's 1533-position model. The record is from RNAcentral.